RNAcentral lists this ribosomal RNA (447 nucleotides) under uncultured bacterium. RNAcentral describes it as "partial 16S ribosomal RNA". It matches the Rfam family "Bacterial small subunit ribosomal RNA", at positions 29 to 507 of the family's 1533-position model. The record is from RNAcentral.
AACGAACGCUAUCGGUAUGCUUAACACAUGCAAGUCGGACGGACUAAUUAGGGCUUGCUCCAAUUAGUUAGUGGCAGACGGGUGAGUAACACGAGGGAAUCUGCCCAUCAGUACGGAAUAACUUUUAGAAAUAAAAGCUAAUACCGUAUAUUCUCUACAGAGGAAAGAUUUAUCGCUGAUGGAUGAGCCCGCGUCAGAUUAGGUAGUUGGUGAGGUAACGGCUCACCAAGCCGACGAUCUGUAGCUGGUCUGAGAGGAUGAUCAGCCACACUGGGACUGAGACACGGCCCAGACUCCUACGGGAGGCAGCAGUGGGGAAUAUUGGACAAUGGGCGAAAGCCUGAUCCAGCAAUACCGAGUGAGUGAUAAAGGCCCUAGGGUUGUAAAGCUCUUUUAGCAAGGAAGAUAAUGACGUUACUUGCAGAAAAAGCCCCGGCUAACUCCGUG